Bubalus bubalis (water buffalo) is the source of this 4568-nucleotide long non-coding RNA. RefSeq lists it as uncharacterized. The record is from RefSeq and is a predicted model, not a curated record. Lineage: Eukaryota; Metazoa; Chordata; Mammalia; Artiodactyla; Bovidae. The transcript is spliced from 4 exons.
CAUUGCCAGGCAGGUUUUUUUUUUUUUUUUUUUUACCACUAGUGCCACCUAGGAAGUCCCCAGUGUGUAACCAGUACUCAAUUAAAAAAACAUGUGGAUUGGAUUAACAUGUAAAUUCACAGAUACUGGCUCUACCAUAUAUUACCAGGCAACCUUUAGCAAAUCAGUGAAUGAGGUUUAUUCUACUUCUAUAAAAUUGGGAUGGUAAUUUCUACCCUCCAAUUGUGAAUUUUAAACAAGAUUACAAAAGUACAUUCCUAGGACAAUAUUUGCAUGCACUCAAUGACUUAUUUUGUGAGUUUGAUGAAAGUUGGACACACAAUAGUAGUAAACAUUUUUAGAUUAUUUAUAGAAAAUAAACUACCAGGCAUGGUUUUAAGCACUUUAUCUAUCUUAAUUCAUUUAAUUUGUACAUCCUGUAAAGUUUGUACUAUUAUUAUCAUCAUGCUUAUCUGACAAAUAAAGAAACUGCAGGACUAACUUGCCCAAGGUCACAAGACUAGAAAAAAAAAAAAAAGAAAGAAAGAAAAUCACUGAACCUGGAUUUGAACUCAGGCUGAUCUGUUUCCAAAGUCCAUCAGUUAGCUACUUCCCCACAUUGCUUCCCCCAGGAAAGAAGACACAAUUUAUUUAAUACAGGUAUAGAAAAGCACAUUCAAGUAGUGAAAACUUCAGUUCACAAGUAGUUUAUUUUUUUAACUAGUGGAAUGUCUUCAUAGAUAAAAAAUGAUAAUAAUUCACUUUCUAAAUCAACUGGAAUAUUUAGACAGUGGCUAAAUUAUAUUGAACCCCAAACCAUGAAAUAUCUUUGGACAAAAAAUGCUACCACUGAGGAGCUAUGUGGAAACUGCCUUUUGUUUAGGCACAGUCUAUAUGAACCAAUACAUUUCCAUUUUAAAAUAGAAAGCAGUGUCAUUUAGUUUCCAAAGUUGAGUGGAAACAAAAACCAGGGCCAUAUAGACACACCCUAAACCAAGCACCUGCUUUUGAGGCUGCGUCAAAUAUUAUUGUCCUGUUUUUCUUGUGAAUUGGCUUCAAUCAUUUGUGAUUCCUGUGCCUUUAGCAUAUCUCAUAACCAGCAGUCAUUCAUCAUCUAUUUUAAGUUUGGUUGGUUUCGCUCAUGAGAGAGAACUCAGUAAGACUAUGUCUUCUCCAUUCAUGGUGCUGGUUCUACAAGUCACUGCAUACCCAUUAAGGUGGCAUACACACACAAACUUUCCAAAUCGUCUUUAAAGGCUUUCAGUUCCCUUUUUUCUUUUUUUGGUUUCUAUUGCCUUCCCAGUAAUGGCUAAGACAUUGUCAGUUUGCCUUUCUUCUUGAGAUUUCUUUAGAAGGCCUUGUGGCCUGAGCAUUCAUUUGGGACCCAGUUUUAAUUUCCCAUUGGUUUUGGUUUGGCUGUUUUACUUGCAAGAACAGAUAGCCAUUUAAGCCAACUCAAGAUGAAGGGCUUUAGCAUAUUGUAUUACAUCACUUUAUUUUAAAAUGAUGAAGGAAUGUGGAAAUACAGGAACCAGGAACUGUAUUAAAUGUUGGCCUCAAAGAGCCUGGAGCUCAAAGUUGACUCUAGAUUUAAGAAGGCUCCCAGGCCUUCAGCAGCAGGAGUUCAUGGAUUAAGUGACAUGCUAUAUAUCCACUUCAUCUGGUCCUAGCACUAAAUGAUGGCUAUUUUUCUCCAUGCUCAGGGCCCUAAGAGAGAAUCUGAUUGGUCCUGUCCAUCUUCAAGGGCAAACUAGAACUCCCUGACCAGUCUAUGGUUUGUGUACUGGUGCCUGAGCUACAGCCAAUCAUUUGUGGACAGAGGAGGUAGGGCUCUGAGUAUUAAACAUGGCUUCCUGGGCCUGCCCCUUUGGCAGGAAGUGUGGGCAGGGUGGAUCCCCUCAGAAGAGGUUGUGAGUGAGUUGGCACAGUGCUGACCUUUCCAGAAUAUCAUCUUGUAAGAGACUAAAGUGUUACCCAAAUCACACAAUCAUUUACCAAUGUAAGAUGAUAUAUUGACAAAGAUGUAACUUGGAAAGAUGUGCACAAAACCACAUAUAUACAUCUUUGCAAUUGGCAUGCUUAAAACCUGAAACAAAUUUCAUUAUUUCUUUGCAGUAUGUUUUAUCUAAAAAUGUUUGUUCUUUUGCCUGGUAAGUCAAGCUGUUAAAGCCCUGUGGCUUUCUUAGUCAGGCCCUCCAAGUUUUGGUGAACAGAUUACACUCAGCACAAUUCUAGCUGAUGCCAUUCAUAGAAGUUUCAAUGUGUUGACCAAACUGAAACUUCAUUAACCUUUGCAGUUGCCUAGUCAAUUAUUGAGGUUUUGUUUUAAUUGAGCUGGUUAAAGCCACUGACUGGUUAUUACCAUUGACUGAGUAUACACAAUGCCAAGGGCCACAGUUUUAAACACAAGCAGAACACAUUCAUGACUUCAGAGGUCCCUUGUGUCAAGUUUGUGAUGCCCAUGCUGUUGGUGAGCUCUCCUUUGAGGAUUGGCCUGCUGCCACCCAUGGACCCUGAAGAACAAGGGGCAUGCAGUGGGAACAUUCAAGAUGCAGUUCUGGAUGCAUUCUGCAGCGGCUGGGAGAGUUGUGGUGCUGGUGGUAGGAUGGCUGGUAUAAAGGUAUACGGCAUGACAUACUUGGCCUGCACUACAAUUCUAGAGAGCAACCCCCCCUAGGCAAAGAUCAGAUCCUUAUGCUUAAGGUAACUAUUUUAGGAUGGUUUGAGUCACUACCCAUGGCAGGCAUUGGUGAUAUGUAUCUGUGUGAAUGGCACUCUCUUUUCUUGAGUCCCCAACAGAAGCCAGCCUCUCCUGACACUAGAGGUCCAUAGCAAUCUAGCUGUGCUUCUCUGUGGCCCACAUCAUUUUCUACCCAUAUUGACAAUCUCUGUCUGAUUUUUUACUACCCUCUGAUGGAAGCUUGUAUUAAGACAAGAUCAAUGUCUAGUUCCUUUCUGGUGUUCCUGCCAUUUAAUAAAUAUUUGUUGAAUGAAUGAGAGUAAGAACCUAAACCUUUUCAGUCACCAGAUUGACUGUGGCCAUGUUGCUUCACUGUUCUCUUUGCUCAGUGACAGUAUUUGGCCUAAGAGGAAUGUCUGAGAUGGGAUCAUUGUCAAGUGAAACUAAUUUCAGUAUCAAGUUUAUUUAAAAUUUUCAAAUGUCUGUAAUGUAGAUAUUGUGAAACACCAUCAGUAUAUCCUGUAAUAUGUAAAAGGGUCCACAGACACAGUAGAUUACCAGCAGGAGGACAAAAUUUCUAGGGGGCAGAUCAGGAAAUUUCCUUGAGUGUAUGGAGAGAAGGAGGAGGAGAAGGGGGAGGAGUGGUGGGUAAUAGCUAAUGUUUAUUGAUAAUUUACCAUGUGCCAGGUCCUAUUAUAAGCAUUUUACAUAAUUAAUUCAUUUAAAACUCACAACACUUACCUUGUUGUCCAGUGGCUAAGAUUUCAUGCUCCCAGUGCAGGGGGCCCUGGUUUGAUACCUUUUCAGGAAACUAGAUGCCACAGGAUGGAACUAAAGGUCUCACAUGUUGCAAAAAAGGCCCAGCACAGCCAAAAUAAAUAAAUAAAUAAAUAAAACUCACAAGAGACAUAUGGGGAAGUUACCGUUAUCCCAUUUUACAGGUGAGUCUGGCACAAGACAGAGCAAGUUGUCCUGUGUUCUGUGAAGUCCAACUUGUACUCCAGGACUCCCCUUCUCCUUCACCUUCUCCUGUUUCUUUCCCAUUCUGUUUAUACCUCAUAAAUUCAAAACAUUGUUGAUAAAUGUCAAAUAUUGUUAAACACUAGAUGUUAAAAUAUGGCUGCGUGGCGCAGGAUCUGCCCAGAGGACCUACCCCACGUCCAAGGUCAGGAGCAGCAGCUGUGCUUUGCUGGAGCAGCCGUGAAGAGAGGUGCUGUGCUCCUCCUCUCCCCUGCCCUGCCCCAUGAGGAAGAGACAAGGAUGGAUGGAACCGGAGUGUAGGGAAGGAUUUUCUCAUAAUUCAAAAGCCCAUGAAGAUCUCUAGACUACCAGGAGAACAUUGCUUGCUCUUUCAGUAACAGAAGUUUGGACAACAAGGUUUCCUCUGCAUAGACAACCAGGAGAUGCACUUAUGUUCAAGUGAGAGUGAGUCAAAUGAUGGCCUUGAAAAUACUGCUAACAAACUCUGCCCAGCCUCCCAUCCCUCUCUCCCUCAAGACCCCUCAGCAUGCCCCUUGAACUCUCAAGAUCUUGAGUGAUAAAUCCUCAACUGGAAAGGGAGGAUUAUCUUGCUACAGUCGGCCUGGUCCCAACGACCUCCAAAUAACUUACUGGUGCCAGCCUGCUUCCUCAGGACCUGCUCCUAACUAUUUCUUCAUCAAGCUUUGGACUGAAUAAGACACAGACAAGAUGUCUUCACUUGUGAGUUGCUGUGAGUUGCUGACCAGGACCCCUUCCUGAAGCUGCUCUCUAUUCCACCGGUGCAAACAAUGUGUAUCUGAGAAGGGGACAUUGUUUCCAUUGUUUCCGCCGCCAUUGUUUUACAGUGUUUUGAAUUCUUUAAUUUUUUUAAAUUAGAAUACAGUUAAUUUACAAUGUUGCAUUAGUUUCUCCUGUACAGCAAAGUGUA